RNAcentral lists this ribosomal RNA (253 nucleotides) under uncultured bacterium. RNAcentral describes it as "partial 16S ribosomal RNA". It matches the Rfam family "Bacterial small subunit ribosomal RNA", at positions 524 to 776 of the family's 1533-position model. The record is from RNAcentral.
UACGUAGGGGGCAAGCGUUGUCCGGAAUUAUUGGGCGUAAAGCGCGUGUAGGCGGCCAGAUAAGUCCGCUGUGAAAUCUCGAGGCUCAACUUCGAGCUGUCGGUGGAAACUGUCUGGCUAGAGUCCGGAAGAGGAGAAUGGAAUUCCUGGUGUAGCGGUGAAAUGCGCAGAUAUCAGGAAGAACACCCGUGGCGAAGGCGGUUCUCUGGGACGGUACUGACGCUGAGACGCGAAAGCGCGGGGAGCGAACAGG